UGCAGUCGAGCGGUAGAGAGAAGCUUGCUUCUCUUGAGAGCGGCGGACGGGUGAGUAAUGCCUAGGAAUCUGCCUGGUAGUGGGGGAUAACGUCCGGAAACGGACGCUAAUACCGCAUACGUCCUACGGGAGAAAGCAGGGGACCUUCGGGCCUUGCGCUAUCAGAUGAGCCUAGGUCGGAUUAGCUAGUUGGUGAGGUAAUGGCUCACCAAGGCGACGAUCCGUAACUGGUCUGAGAGGAUGAUCAGUCACACUGGAACUGAGACACGGUCCAGACUCCUACGGGAGGCAGCAGUGGGGAAUAUUGGACAAUGGGCGAAAGCCUGAUCCAGCCAUGCCGCGUGUGUGAAGAAGGUCUUCGGAUUGUAAAGCACUUUAAGUUGGGAGGAAGGGUACUUACCUAAUACGUGAGUAUUUUGACGUUACCGACAGAAUAAGCACCGGCUAACUCUGUGCCAGCAGCCGCGGUAAUACAGAGGGUGCAAGCGUUAAUCGGAAUUACUGGGCGUAAAGCGCGCGUAGGUGGUUCGUUAAGUUGGAUGUGAAAUCCCCGGGCUCAACCUGGGAACUGCAUCCAAAACUGGCGAGCUAGAGUAUGGUAGAGGGUGGUGGAAUUUCCUGUGUAGCGGUGAAAUGCGUAGAUAUAGGAAGGAACACCAGUGGCGAAGGCGACCACCUGGACUGAUACUGACACUGAGGUGCGAAAGCGUGGGGAGCAAACAGGAUUAGAUACCCUGGUAGUCCACGCCGUAAACGAUGUCAACUAGCCGUUGGGAGCCUUGAGCUCUUAGUGGCGCAGCUAACGCAUUAAGUUGACCGCCUGGGGAGUACGGCCGCAAGGUUAAAACUCAAAUGAAUUGACGGGGGCCCC
This 871-nucleotide ribosomal RNA is filed under the name Pseudomonas sp. RNAcentral describes it as "bacterial SSU rRNA". It matches the Rfam family "Bacterial small subunit ribosomal RNA", at positions 56 to 923 of the family's 1533-position model. Lineage: Bacteria; Pseudomonadati; Pseudomonadota; Gammaproteobacteria; Pseudomonadales; Pseudomonadaceae. The record is from RNAcentral.